Molecule: ribosomal RNA, 228 nt
Filed under: uncultured bacterium
Lineage: Bacteria
Description: partial 16S ribosomal RNA
Rfam family: Bacterial small subunit ribosomal RNA
Source: RNAcentral
UGCGCAGGCGGGAAAUUAAGUCAGUGGUGAAAUCCUGCAGCUUAACUGUAGAAUUGCCAUUGAAACUGAUUUUCUUGAGUACAGUUGAGGUGGGCGGAAUGUGUAAUGUAGCGGUGAAAUGCUUAGAUAUUACACAGAACACCGAUUGCGUAGGCAGCUCACUAAACUGUUACUGACGCUCAGGCACGAAAGCGUGGGGAGCGAACAGGAUUAGAUACCCUGGUAGUC